Molecule: long non-coding RNA, 1045 nt
Filed under: Zea mays
Lineage: Eukaryota; Viridiplantae; Streptophyta; Magnoliopsida; Poales; Poaceae
Description: drought responsive lncRNA
Source: RNAcentral
AGUGACAAUUAAAGAAUAUGGUAGGAGGAGAUUGGAGCUUGCCUCUCUAUCCCACUUACCGAGGGUGUCAUUGUCAUGGGGAACAGUUAUUUUCCCAUGCUAGGUUGUGUCCACCAAAUUAUGUAUACUCCCUCCGGUGCAGUAAAAGAAGUCAUCCUGCGCGUGCACAAAAAGAAGUCAUAGCGCGCGUGGGUCUGGAAUUUGGACGUUGUUGCCCCUAGUAAUUGCACAAAAAAAGAUGCAUUUAAGAGGAAUCGAACUUGAGACCUCCAGUCUAGAAUGCCUUGGAGCUGCUGCAGCAACCAAUCAAGCCUGAUUGUUUUAGUGACGUUAAUGCACCCAUAUCCCUAUUUAAUAGGGGCAAACAGGGAAAACUCUAUGAUAAUUAAUCACUCCUUGGUAUGCACAAUCAUGUCCUAAACGACUACCUUUACUGCACUGGAGGGAGUACAAUCAUAUAAAAUAUUAUUUUUACACUGUAAAACUCGAAUCUCCAAGCACAUGUGGUAAUGGUGGUGUGGGUGCGGCGGCGGUGGCGCCCCCGACAAUGCCUCAGCCAAGAGCAGCAAAUAAAUAAUCCCUCAACGAUACGCGAUCUCUCUCGGUUAGUGGAUGGCUCUAGCGACUAGCCAUCUGAUGCCUGGCUUUUUAAAACGGUUUUCCCGGUUUGUUUCUAACGGGGUUCAAUGUUUUUUUAUCGGUUCAUCACGGUUUUUUUUAAGCGGAUCAGACAGGUCAGUGCUCUGAUCUUAUCGGUCAAGCCGCAGGUCCGGUCUGUCCCAAUAAAAGCUAGUUUCAAAGUAAGAAGAGCCAAACCCAAAUAUAGAAAAAACCUCCCAUGAAGAAGAACUAAAGGGGUGUUUGGUUUCUAGGGACUAAUGUUUAGUCCCUAAAUUUUAUUCCUUUUUAGUGUAUAAAUUGCUAAAUAUAGAAACUAAAACUUUAUUUUAGUUUCUAUAUUUAGUAAUUUAUACACUAAAAAGGAAUAAAAUGAAGGGACUAAACAUUAGUCCCUAGAAACCAAACACCCUCUAAGGCUAUUCAC